UAUUAAUGUUUAAUUUACAUAACUGCAUAACUACAGUCAAUGAAUUGUUAAGGUAAGUUUAGUUGUAAGCAUACCUCAUGUCAGUAAGAUCAGUAAAUAUAUUUACAAUUGUUAAAAAAAUAUUUGCUGACGUGAACAUUUCUUACAUUCUUUUACAGAUAUUUCACCCACCAUUCAAGCUAAUGCAAGAUAAAAAAUGAUUUCAGAAGAAUCACCACAAUUUCCUUGGAGCGUACAUUCUUGUAAAAGCUGGACUUCUAUACCCCAAAACUCCUGGCUUUGUUUGAGAUGAGGGGUGGGGUUGCUGGCAUAAGAAUUAAACAUUUGCUGGAUUCACUGAGCUAGCAAGAAGAUAGCCUUGAAGAUAGGUGAGAAGUUGUGAUUCGCUGCCUCCUAUCUUUCCUGGGAGAAUCAGCUAAGGAGCUCAUUGAAGACCACCAGGAUAUCAGCAGAGACGUGAUUAAGGAUACCUUAUUCAGUCAUGUCUUUAAAAUCAUCGUACUGAGCAGAUCUGUGGAAGAAGAUGCCGGUAUGUCUGAUGUCAUCAUUGUCAUUGAGGGAACUGAGGUGCUGCUGGGAUGUAAGAAUCUCACAAAUGCAUGUCUUUCACUCACAGGCUGCAUUUACUCCCUAAACUUAAGCUGUCCCCCAAAGCUGAGAAAAACAUUUGGAGUGUUUCAGAAAAAUUUUCUUGGGUUAGAUGCUUUUUAAAUUUUCUCCAAAGGUUAACUCUGCAUAGAAAGCUUCUAAUGUAAUCUGCUAGUUGGGCACU
This is a long non-coding RNA of Paramisgurnus dabryanus, 772 nucleotides long. RefSeq lists it as uncharacterized. The record is from RefSeq and is a predicted model, not a curated record. NCBI's taxonomy places the organism in Eukaryota, Metazoa, Chordata, Actinopteri, Cypriniformes, Cobitidae.